CGUGCUUACACAUGCAAGUCGAACGAUGAACCGGCUUCGGUCGGGGAUUAGUGGCGAACGGGUGAGUAACACGUGGGCAAUCUGCCCUUCACUCUGGGACAAGCCCUGGAAACGGGGUCUAAUACCGGAUAUGACACGGGGUCGCAUGAUCUCCGUGUGGAAAGCUCCGGCGGUGAAGGAUGAGCCCGCGGCCUAUCAGCUUGUUGGUGAGGUAUGGCUCACCAAGGCGACGACGGGUAGCCGGCCUGAGAGGGCGACCGGCCACACUGGGACUGAGACACGGCCCAGACUCCUACGGGAGGCAGCAGUGGGGAAUAUUGCACAAUGGGCGAAAGCCUGAUGCAGCGACGCCGCGUGAGGGAUGACGGCCUUCGGGUUGUAAACCUCUUUCAGCAGGGAAGAAGCGAGAGUGACGGUACCUGCAGAAGAAGCGCCGGCUAACUACGUGCCAGCAGCCGCGGUAAUACGUAGGGCGCGAGCGUUGUCCGGAAUUAUUGGGCGUAAAGAGCUCGUAGGCGGCUUGUCGCGUCGGAUGUGAAAGCCCGGGGCUUAACCCCGGGUCUGCAUUCGAUACGGGCAGGCUAGAGUUCGGUAGGGGAG
Molecule: ribosomal RNA, 600 nt
Filed under: uncultured Streptomyces sp.
Lineage: Bacteria; Bacillati; Actinomycetota; Actinomycetes; Kitasatosporales; Streptomycetaceae
Description: bacterial SSU rRNA
Rfam family: Bacterial small subunit ribosomal RNA
Source: RNAcentral